CUACGGGUGGCACCAGUGAGGAAUAUUGCACAAUGGGGGGAACCCUGAUGCAGCAACGCCGCGUGGAGGAUGACGCAUUUCGGUGUGUAAACUCCUUUUAUAUGUCAAGAAAAUGACGGUAGCAUAUGAAUAAGCACCGGCUAACUCCGUGCCAGCAGCCGCGGUAAUACGGAGGGUGCAAGCGUUACUCGGAAUCACUGGGCGUAAAGAACGCGUAGGCGGGUUGGAAAGUCAGGUGUGAAAUCCUACAGCUUAACUGUAGAACUGCACUUGAAACUUCUAAUCUAGAGUAUGGGAGGGGGAGAUGGAAUUAGUGGUGUAGGAGUAAAAUCCGUAGAUAUCACUAGGAAUACCUAAAGCGAAGGCGAUCUCCUGGAACAUUACUGACGCUAAGGCGUGAAAGCGUGGGGAGCAAACAGGAUUAGAUACCCGCGUAGUC
Molecule: ribosomal RNA, 439 nt
Filed under: uncultured bacterium
Lineage: Bacteria
Description: partial 16S ribosomal RNA
Rfam family: Bacterial small subunit ribosomal RNA
Source: RNAcentral